Molecule: unclassified non-coding RNA, 166 nt
Filed under: soil metagenome
Description: partial contains 5.8S ribosomal RNA, internal transcribed spacer 2, and large subunit ribosomal RNA
Source: RNAcentral
AACGCACGAGACCUGCGGACCUGCGGAGGGAUCAUUAGUGAACGCCCUCACGGGCUUAUAACUAUUCCAAACCUCUGUGAACCGUGCCCUUCGGGGCUAUUUUACAAACAUGGUGUAAUGAACGUCAUAUAUCAUAACGAAACAAAACUUUUAGCAAUGGAUCUCU